GCUGAGGGAAACCAGUUGGGCAAUAUUCAACAAGUGUUUAUUGAUCCCUGAUUAGGUCCCAGCCAGUGUGCAACUUCGUUUCAUAACAUUAAAAUAUGUUGCAAGUUGGCUCUGUAUGAUUAUCCCAGCAAGGGAAGAGAGCACAGAGGGGGCUGUGCCAGCAGUUGAAGAUGUCAAAGCAGACUUGUUAUAUGAGUCCACCUACCUCCAAAAAAGCUGUGGGAUCCAGCGGCUCCCAUGCCUGUGACUCUCUUUUCCUAACCCGUCCUCACAUUGCCUCUCU
Molecule: long non-coding RNA, 283 nt
Filed under: Bos indicus x Bos taurus (hybrid cattle)
Lineage: Eukaryota; Metazoa; Chordata; Mammalia; Artiodactyla; Bovidae
Description: lncRNA (ENSBIXG00005012847.1)
Source: RNAcentral